This 484-nucleotide ribosomal RNA is filed under the name uncultured bacterium. RNAcentral's name for it is "partial 16S ribosomal RNA". It matches the Rfam family "Bacterial small subunit ribosomal RNA", at positions 30 to 507 of the family's 1533-position model. The record is from RNAcentral.
AUUGAACGCUGGCGGCAGGCCUAACACAUGCAAGUCGAGCGGAUGAAGGGAGCUUGCUCCUGGAUUCAGCGGCGGACGGGUGAGUAAUGCCUAGGAAUUUGCCUGGUAGUGGGGGAUAACGUCCGGAAACGGGCGCUAAUACCGCAUACGUCCUGAGGGAGAAAGUGGGGGAUCUUCUGACCUCACGCUAUCAGAUGAGCCUAGGUCGGAUUAGCUAGUUGGUGGGGUAAAGGCCUACCAAGGCGACGAUCCGUAACUGGUCUGAGAGGAUGAUCAGUCACACUGGAACUGAGACACGGUCCAGACUCCUACGGGAGGCAGCAGUGGGGAAUAUUGGACAAUGGGCGAAAGCCUGAUCCAGCCAUGCCGCGUGUGUGAAGAAGGUCUUCGGAUUGUAAAGCACUUUAAGUUGGGAGGAAGGGCAGUAAGUUAAUACCUUGCUGUUUUGACGUUACCAACAGAAUAAGCACCGGCUAACUUCGUG